GAAAUCGAUUUUCCGGUUGAUCCUGCCGGAGGUUACUGCUAUCGAGAUUCGACUAAGCCAUGCGAGUCGAAUGUGCUUCGUGAACCUGGCGGACUGCUCAGUAACACGUGGUCAACCUACCCUUCGGUCCGGCUUACUCCUGGGAAACUGGGGAUAAUUCCGGAUAAGCCACAUAAGCUGGAAUGCUCUGUGGUCCAAAGACUCCGGUGCCGAAAGGAUGGGUCUGCGGCUUGAUCAGGUUAUUUAUUGGGUUUAAUGUACGUACUAGCUUCCGACUGGGUACGGCUUGUGAGAGCAAGAGCCCGGGAGAUGGAUUUCUGAGACACGAAUCCAGGCCUUACGGGGGUGCACCAGCCGCGAAAACUUUACAAUGCGGGAAACCUUGAUAAGGGAAUCUCGAGUGCCAGCAUAUAAUGUUGACUGUCCAGAGGCCGUAAAAAGCAUCUGUUAGCAAGGCUCGGUCAAGACCGGUGCCAGCCGCCGCGGUAACACCGGCGGCCCGAGUGGUAACCGCUAUUAUUGG
This 523-nucleotide ribosomal RNA is filed under the name uncultured archaeon. RNAcentral describes it as "bacterial SSU rRNA". It matches the Rfam family "Archaeal small subunit ribosomal RNA", at positions 1 to 507 of the family's 1478-position model. The record is from RNAcentral.